Molecule: ribosomal RNA, 496 nt
Filed under: uncultured bacterium
Lineage: Bacteria
Description: partial 16S ribosomal RNA
Rfam family: Bacterial small subunit ribosomal RNA
Source: RNAcentral
GAUGAACGCUGGCGGCGUGCCUAAUACAUGCAGGUCGAGCGAACAGACGAGGAGCUUGCUCCUCUGACGUUAGCGGCGGACGGGUGAGUAACACGUGGAUAACCUACCUAUAAGACUGGGAUAACUUCGGGAAACCGGAGCUAAUACCGGAUAAUAUAUUGAACCGCAUGGUUCAAUAGUGAAAGACGGUUUUGCUGUCACUUAUAGAUGGAUCCGCGCCGCAUUAGCUAGUUGGUAAGGUAACGGCUUACCAAGGCAACGAUGCGUAGCCGACCUGAGAGGGUGAUCGGCCACACUGGAACUGAGACACGGUCCAGACUCCUACGGGAGGCAGCAGUAGGGAAUCUUCCGCAAUGGGCGAAAGCCUGACGGAGCAACGCCGCGUGAGUGAUGAAGGUCUUCGGAUCGUAAAACUCUGUUAUUAGGGAAGAACAAAUGUGUAAGUAACUAUGCACGUCUUGACGGUACCUAAUCAGAAAGCCACGGCUAACUACGU